RNAcentral lists this ribosomal RNA (501 nucleotides) under Aeromonas veronii. RNAcentral describes it as "bacterial SSU rRNA". It matches the Rfam family "Bacterial small subunit ribosomal RNA", at positions 8 to 501 of the family's 1533-position model. Lineage: Bacteria; Pseudomonadati; Pseudomonadota; Gammaproteobacteria; Aeromonadales; Aeromonadaceae. The record is from RNAcentral.
AGAGUUUGAUCAUGGCUCAGAUCGAACGCUGGCGGCAGGCCUAACACAUGCAAGUCGAGCGGCAGCGGGAAAGUAGCUUGCUACUUUUGCCGGCGAGCGGCGGACGGGUGAGUAAUGCCUGGGGAUCUGCCCAGUCGAGGGGGAUAACUACUGGAAACGGUAGCUAAUACCGCAUACGCCCUACGGGGGAAAGCAGGGGACCUUCGGGCCUUGCGCGAUUGGAUGAACCCAGGUGGGAUUAGCUAGUUGGUGAGGUAAUGGCUCACCAAGGCGACGAUCCCUAGCUGGUCUGAGAGGAUGAUCAGCCACACUGGAACUGAGACACGGUCCAGACUCCUACGGGAGGCAGCAGUGGGGAAUAUUGCACAAUGGGGGAAACCCUGAUGCAGCCAUGCCGCGUGUGUGAAGAAGGCCUUCGGGUUGUAAAGCACUUUCAGCGAGGGGGAAAGGUUGGUAGUUUAACUGCCAGAGAGACGUACUCGCAGAAGAGCACCGCAUUCG